AUGAACGCUAGCGACAGGCUUAACACAUGCAAGUCGAGGGGUAACAGGGUAGCAAUACCGCUGACGACCGGCGCACGGGUGAGUAACGCGUAUGCAACCUGCCUAUAACUGGGGAAUAGCUCCCUGAAAGGGGAAUUAACACCGCAUAACACUAUUGAUUCGCAUGGAUUAGUAGUUAAAUGUAGCGAUACAGGUUAUAGAUGGGCAUGCGUGACAUUAGCUAGUUGGUGAGGUAACGGCUCACCAAGGCUACGAUGUCUAGGGGUUCUGAGAGGAAGGUCCCCCACACUGGUACUGAGACACGGACCAGACUCCUACGGGAGGCAGCAGUGAGGAAUAUUGGUCAAUGGGCGCAAGCCUGAACCAGCCAUGUCGCGUGCAGGAAGACUGCCCCUAUGGGUUGUAAACUGCUUUUAUAGUAGAAGAAACACAUCUACGCGUAGAUGUCUGCCAGUAUACUAUGAAUAAGCAUCGGCUAACUCCGUGCCAGCCGCCGC
This 497-nucleotide ribosomal RNA is filed under the name uncultured bacterium. RNAcentral's name for it is "bacterial SSU rRNA". It matches the Rfam family "Bacterial small subunit ribosomal RNA", at positions 29 to 518 of the family's 1533-position model. The record is from RNAcentral.